GACGAACGCUGGCGGCGUGCUUAACACAUGCAAGUCGAACGGAAAGGCCCUGCUUUUGUGGGGUGCUCGAGUGGCGAACGGGUGAGUAACACGUGAGUAACCUGCCCUUGACUUUGGGAUAACUUCAGGAAACUGGGGCUAAUACCGGAUAGGAGCUCCUGCUGCAUGGUGGGGGUUGGAAAGUUUCGGCGGUUGGGGAUGGACUCGCGGCUUAUCAGCUUGUUGGUGGGGUAGUGGCUUACCAAGGCUUUGACGGGUAGCCGGCCUGAGAGGGUGACCGGCCACAUUGGGACUGAGAUACGGACCAGACUCCUACGGGAGGCAGAAGUGGGGAAUAUUGCACAAUGGGCGGAAGCCUGAUGCAGCAACGCCGCGUGCGGGAUGACGGCCUUCGGGUUGUAAACCGCUUUCGCCUGUGACGAAGCGUGAGUGACGGUAAUGGGUAAAGAAGCAACGGCUAACUACGUG
This 468-nucleotide ribosomal RNA is filed under the name uncultured bacterium. RNAcentral describes it as "partial 16S ribosomal RNA". It matches the Rfam family "Bacterial small subunit ribosomal RNA", at positions 28 to 507 of the family's 1533-position model. The record is from RNAcentral.